GCCAGGAACAAAACCGCAGCCCUGAAGUUUCUGCAGCCCCCGGAGCUGAGAUGCCGACUCCCCGCCCUCCAGAACCUUCCACGCCGCUCGCUCCCGCGAAGGCAGCAGUGAAAAGCUAAAGAAGUAAACAGGUCAUGGCAUGUUUGACAAAAAGAUGACAGGCAGAUACAAAAGCUAUCCAGCAUCUUUGGGCAGCCAUUGAGAUUAUAACGGAACCAGAAGCAAAUUGCCAACAUUGACCGUAUUACAAAAGGACUUAUUCUACGUCAUUUGCAUGUCCACAUGAGUAUUAGAAUCAGCUUGACAAUUUCUACAACAGAGAACACUUUGAUGUUGACUGGGCUUGUGCUGAAUCUGCAGAUCAAUGUGAUCAGAACUGAUGUCUGAGUGUUUUUCUGACCUGCGAAGAAGGUGUAUCUUUCCCUUUGCUGAGUUCUCCUUUAUUUUUACUCUGCAAUGCUUACAGUUUUUAUAGUACAGGUCUUUUGUAGUUUUGUCAGAUUGACCUGUAAAUAUUUCUCUUUAAAUGCUAUUGUAAAUGGUAUCAUUUUUAAUUUAAAUUUCCAAUCAUUCAUUGCUAGUG
Long non-coding RNA from Lemur catta (Ring-tailed lemur), 583 nucleotides. RefSeq lists it as uncharacterized. The record is from RefSeq and is a predicted model, not a curated record. The transcript has 3 exons. NCBI's taxonomy places the organism in Eukaryota, Metazoa, Chordata, Mammalia, Primates, Lemuridae.